CGGGGCGUAGCUCAGUUGGAUUAGAGCGCACGGCUUGGGACCGUGAGGACGGAGGUUCAAAUCCUCUCGCCCCGACCA
Molecule: transfer RNA, 78 nt
Filed under: Elusimicrobiota bacterium
Lineage: Bacteria; Pseudomonadati; Elusimicrobiota
Description: Elusimicrobia bacterium (hot springs metagenome) tRNA-Pro
Rfam family: tRNA
About the family: Transfer RNA (tRNA) molecules are approximately 80 nucleotides in length.
Source: RNAcentral